RNAcentral lists this ribosomal RNA (663 nucleotides) under uncultured bacterium. RNAcentral describes it as "bacterial SSU rRNA". It matches the Rfam family "Bacterial small subunit ribosomal RNA", at positions 8 to 660 of the family's 1533-position model. The record is from RNAcentral.
AGAGUUUGAUCAUGGCUCAGAUUGAACGCUGGCGGCAGGCCUAACACAUGCAAGUCGAGCGGUAACAGAAAGUAACUUGCUACUUUGCUGACGAGCGGCGGACGGGUGAGUAAUGCCUGGGAAUAUGCCUUGAUGUGGGGGAUAACCAUUGGAAACGAUGGCUAAUACCGCAUAAUGUCUUCGGACCAAAGAGGGGGACCUUCGGGCCUCUCGCGUCAAGAUUAGCCCAGGUGGGAUUAGCUAGUAGGUGAGGUAAUGGCUCACCUAGGCGACGAUCUCUAGCUGGUCUGAGAGGAUGAUCAGCCACACUGGAACUGAGACACGGUCCAGACUCCUACGGGAGGCAGCAGUGGGGAAUAUUGCACAAUGGGCGCAAGCCUGAUGCAGCCAUGCCGCGUGUGUGAAGAAGGCCUUCGGGUUGUAAAGCACUUUCAGUCGUGAGGAAGGCAGUUGCGUUAAUAGCGUAAUUGUUUGACGUUAGCGACAGAAGAAGCACCGGCUAACUCCGUGCCAGCAGCCGCGGUAAUACGGAGGGUGCGAGCGUUAAUCGGAAUUACUGGGCGUAAAGCGCAUGCAGGUGGUUAGUUAAGUCAGAUGUGAAAGCCCGGGGCUCAACCUCGGAAUUGCAUUUGAAACUGGCUAGCUAGAGUACUGUAGAGGGGG